CCCUUAGAUGUUCUGGGCCGCACGCGCGCUACACUGAUGCAUUCAACGAGUCUAAAACCUGGUCUGAUAGGGCUGGGUAAUCUUUUGAAAGUGCAUCGUGAUUGGGAUAGAUGAUUGCAAUUCUUCAUCUUCAACGAGGAAUGCCUAGUAAACGCAAGUCAUCAGCUUGCAUUGAUUACGUCCCUGCCCUUUGUACACACCGCCCGUCGCUCCUACCGAUUGAAUGAUCCGAUGAAUACCAUGGAUUGAGAGUACGAAUGGGUUCGCUCAUUUCUGCUGCUCGAGAAGUGGAGUAAAUCUUAUCAUCUAGAGGAAGGAGAAGUCGUAACA
This 330-nucleotide ribosomal RNA is filed under the name uncultured eukaryote. Its description in RNAcentral is "partial 18S ribosomal RNA". It matches the Rfam family "Eukaryotic small subunit ribosomal RNA", at positions 1470 to 1796 of the family's 1831-position model. The record is from RNAcentral.